RNAcentral lists this long non-coding RNA (853 nucleotides) under Anser brachyrhynchus (Pink-footed goose). Its description in RNAcentral is "lncRNA (ENSABRG00000001049.1)". The record is from RNAcentral. Lineage: Eukaryota; Metazoa; Chordata; Aves; Anseriformes; Anatidae.
GGUGGGCUCUCUAGGAGAAAGGUCCUCCGGGACUCUGUGGUCACUGUGGAGACUCUCUAGGAGGGAGGUCCUCCAGGACUCUAUGGUCACUGCAUGGAAAAGUCCUCCAGGUCUCUAUGGUCACGGGUUGGACUCUCUAGGAAGAAAGUCCUCCGAGUCUUUAUGGUCUUCCACUAAAACCGUGCUAGAAGGGAGGUCCUCCAGGUCUCUAUGGUCACCGCUUGGACUCUCUAGGAGGAAAGUCCUCCAGUCUUUAUGGUCUUCCAUUAAACCGUGCUAGAAGGGAGGUCCUCCAGCACUCUAUGGUUUGAAGUCCUCCACCUCUCUAUGGUUGCCAGCACGGCCCCACGUGCCCACGGGACACUCUAGCCCACCUCCCCGGUCUCUAUGGCCCCGCAGCCCCUCUGGCCCUUCUUCCCCCCUCUCUAUGGUCUCACCCCCCCCCCCCCAAGGAGGCCACGCGCAGCCACACCUACGGCUCCAAGCACUUUAUUGGGGGGGAGGGGCAGGGGGCAGGGCCACAGCACCCAUCGGUCACCGGGGGGCACCCAUGGGUGCUGGGGGACACCCAUGGGUGUCAUGGGGCACCCUGGGGUUCAACUGAUGCCGAUGCAAAGCCAAUUGCGGUCCUCCAGGGUGGCGUUGACCAACCUCUAAGACCCAACGUUAGCCGUAGAGCACCCAUUGAUGGUUGGGGCGCACCCAUGGGUGCUGGGGGUGGCCUUGGGGCACCCCACGAUGUCAACAACCACCCAUGGGUGCUCAAGGACCACUGUGGGCUUCAUCUAACACAGGUACAAAGGGUUCUGUGGUCCUCCAGGGUGGCGUUGACCAACCUCCAAGACCCAACGUU